AAUAAAUCAAUUUUUUAUUUUUUAUCUAUAAUUUUUGACUCUUCGUCUUAUUUUAAAAUUUUUUGUGAUUAAUUUUUUUGUUUUUAUUAGAUGAUAAAUUAUAAAUAGUACUUUACGUGUGACUAAUUUUUUUCUAAAUUUUCUAAAACUUUUUCAAAUAAGACGGAUAAUCAAACAUUCGAUACGGAAACCGGAG
This 196-nucleotide microRNA precursor is filed under the name Oryza brachyantha (malo sina). RNAcentral describes it as "MIR812 microRNA precursor family". The stretch from base 27 to 192 matches the Rfam family "MIR812 microRNA precursor family", at positions 27 to 189 of the family's 205-position model. The record is from Rfam by way of RNAcentral. Lineage: Eukaryota; Viridiplantae; Streptophyta; Magnoliopsida; Poales; Poaceae.